GGGGUAAAUAAAAUUAAGGGUACUAAUCCAUAAAUAUUUUUUAAAUCCUAGAAAAAAAAUCAAUCAAAACAAAAUUUUUAAAUCCUAAUAAAGUAGAAAAAAAUGUUAGCUAGACUGUUCAAGGAAAGAAAAGAUGUUUAUAAAUGAAUAAACUAGACUGGGCAUGGUGACUCACGCCUGUAAUGCCAGCAGUUUGGGAGGCCAAGGUGGCAAGAUCACGAGGUCAGGAGUUCAAGACCAGCCUGGUCAAUACGGUGAAACCCCGUCACUAUUAAAAAUACAAAAAUUAGCCACGUGUAGUGGUGCAUGUCAGUAGUCCCAGCUACUCGGGAGGCUGGGGCAGAAGAAUCACUUGAGCCCGGGAGGUGGAGGUUGCAGUGAGCCAAGAUUGCACCAGUGCACUCCAGCCUGGGUGACAGAGUGAGACUCCGUUUCAAAAAAAAAAAAAAAAAAAAGAAUAAACUAUAUUGGAAUUGAAUUGGUGCCAAUAAGACAAGAAUUGCAAAUAUAACUAUCUGUAAGAAAAAAUUGUGACGUGCUUUUGCCAGCAUAUCACAAUUUGAAACUUUUGAUGAAAUAGACAAAGACUUAGACAUAUAUAAUAUGAAAAAGACUUAGAAAGAAUGAGAAAGCUUGAAAAGUCCUGUAACUAUUAAGGAGGUUGAAAUAGAUGUUUAAAAUCCUCACACAAUAAAAGUACAGACAGUUGUGUAAGUUAAUUCUACCACCACGUUUUAAGGUAGAUACUGUCUUUCAUAAUGUUAUAUUGUUCUAUCAUAAAACAGAAAAAGGCGGAAUGCUUCUCAAUCCACAAAUGAUAUUUGUCUAACGUAACUAUCAAGUACCCUGUACGAGAAAUGCAAAUUACUCCCAACCCUACUUACCAUGUAGACAGUUUAUAUGAGUGAAAUUUUUGUCUCAUAAUGGGUCAUCACUGGACACUGUAGUACUUUAAAAUCAAGGGAGAGAAGAAUAACCAUGUUAUUUAAAAAUUUAGUUUUAAAAGAAUUUACUCAAGAUAUAUAUGCUUGCUGGGAUGAGAAAUAUCAGUCUCCUCCCAUCAUCUUUUUCCUUCCACUCCUGUUUCUUAUGUCCUUUUUCCAGAGUACAUACUCCAACCCGACUCUCACCCUCUAAGUUCCUCAAGGCAGACUAGCUUCUCCUUUCUUCUGAAAUCUUAACACUAACUAAGGGAUGGUACUCAUCUUCUACCAAACUCACCAAGGCCCUUAGCAGAACCAAAGCCUGAGCACUAACAUGACCAUUCUCUCCAGAAAGUAGAGAAGGAGAUAUCACAUGCUGCCUUCACUAUUAAAAUCCAUCAGAGUUAUAUGGUUACACAGCUCACUCCUGGUCAAAUUCUGUCCCCUAAGAUGUAACAAACCCCCAAAGUGAAAAUCUAGCAAAACAGUAGUCUUGAGAAAAAGCAUUAGGCAUAUUCUCUAAGUGUAUCUUAUAUAAAUAGUCUAUUGCAGUUUCUUUAAAAAAGUGUACCUAAGCUACCAGAAAAUGUUGGAAAUUUGGAAAGGAAAAUUAAAAGGCCAUGUGCUUCUUAAAUUUAUUUCCUGAACCCUCAAGUAUGUAAAUGAGGAAAGAAGUGAAAAACAGCAGGUCAGGUUCCCACUUCUUCUAUUGAAAUGUUAUCACAAUUUAACAUACUAGAAAAGGGGCAUGCCUGUGAUAUGCUAACGACUUCAAACCGGAAAAUGUGUGAGCUUUGGGAAAAGCUCAUUAAAGACUUUAACCUAAGAAAAAAGUUCAUUUUGGUCUCUCAUGUAAACUAGAGCAUUCCUUAUGCUUGCCCAUUUCCUGUUUUUAUAUGCUCCAGAAAUUUUCCCUAUAGUUUGGUCUUAUUUUCUCCUUUAAGCCAAGAUUUAUAAUAGUUUUCUUCCCACAUAUUUUGUUUGUUUCCUUGCUAGUUUCUUUGACUUUAGCUUUUGUCUUUUGAAAGAGAGAGAGGUGAUCCCUAGAGUCACUGUUUGUUCGUUCCCUACACUUUAACGCUCUACCAAUUUGGAUUUUAAUGGUUUGG
This is a long non-coding RNA of Papio anubis (olive baboon), 2032 nucleotides long. The record is from Ensembl. NCBI's taxonomy places the organism in Eukaryota, Metazoa, Chordata, Mammalia, Primates, Cercopithecidae.